GGGAAUCUGCCUGGUAGUGGGGGACAACGUUCGGAAACGAACGCUAAUACCGCAUACGCCCUACGGGGGAAAGGGGGGGAUCUUCGGACCUCUCGCUAUCAGAUGAGCCCGCGUCGGAUUAGCUAGUUGGUGGGGUAAAGGCCUACCAAGGCGACGAUCCGUAACUGGUCUGAGAGGAUGAUCAGUCACACUGGAACUGAGACACGGUCCAGACUCCUACGGGAGGCAGCAGUGGGGAAUAUUGGACAAUGGGGGAAACCCUGAUCCAGCCAUGCCGCGUGUGUGAAGAAGGCCUUAGGGUUGUAAAGCACUUUCAGUGGGGAGAAAGGUUGUUUACUUAAUACGUGAGCAAAUUGAUGUUACCCACAGAAGAAGCACCGGCUAACUCCGUGCCAGCAGCCGCGGUAAUACGGAGGGUGCAAGCGUUAAUCGGAAUUACUGGGCGUAAAGCGCACGUAGGCGGUUUGAUAAGCCAGCCGUGAAAGCCCCGGGCUCAACCUGGGAAUUGCGGUUGGAACUGUCAAGCUGGAGUACAGUAGAGGGGUGUGGAAUUUCAGGU
This 559-nucleotide ribosomal RNA is filed under the name uncultured bacterium. RNAcentral's name for it is "bacterial SSU rRNA". It matches the Rfam family "Bacterial small subunit ribosomal RNA", at positions 120 to 674 of the family's 1533-position model. The record is from RNAcentral.